RNAcentral lists this long non-coding RNA (2606 nucleotides) under Sus scrofa (pig). RNAcentral's name for it is "lncRNA (ENSSSCG00060028997.1)". Lineage: Eukaryota; Metazoa; Chordata; Mammalia; Artiodactyla; Suidae. The record is from RNAcentral.
UUUUUUUUUUCUUUCUUUUUCUUUUGGCUACACCCACGGAAUGCAGAAGUUCCCAAGCCAAGGAUAGAACCCACACCAUAGCAGUGACCCAAGCCACAGUAGUGAAAAUGCUGGACUCUUAACCCACUGAUCAAGGUACCCAUAAGUCUACGCAUUCUGAAGUCACUGACAACACCCAUUUACCCUGUCAAAUAAGAUCGAAAUUUUUUUAAAUCUUUUUAAGCUUUUAAUUAUUCUAUAAGACUACAACUGUUUUAAGACUAAUGCAGCCAAUUUUGUCACUAAGAUGAACACAAUUCUACACUAUUACUAUGGUGACAACAUCUAGGACUCUGCCAGGGUAUGUUUCUUUAACUAUAAGAGUGACCUUGCACUCAGGAACCAGUAGGCGGCACUCAAACACGACACUGGGCAGGGGACUUUGCUCACCCCCUAGUUAGGAAGCUCAUUUGAUACCCGUGGAGCAACAGGGAGCAGUGACCCAAACUUGUGCCUCGGUAAAAUUCCUGAUCGUGGACUCUUGCGAAUGCUUCUGGCUUGUUAAAUCCAAGAUCACCAAGAGGUCAACAGUAAGGUUUUAUCAAAAAACGGGAGUACCAUGCAAUGAUUAAAACUGAUACCUGUGACGGCGACAGGAAAAAGUUUCCAUAAAUGCUGCAUAAGCAAAAGAAAAGCACAAAAUUUUAGAAAGAUCUUGUAACUGCCGAAUAAGGUAAAACAGUGAUUAAGUCUGAACGAAAGUUUUAAGAUUCUUAUUUCUUUUUAUUGUAUCUUAAGGUAUAUUUAAUAAUAAAAAUGUUUUAGAAAACACAGUUUUAGAAGGCAAAAUUAUUUAGAUGGGAAUAGUAUUUUAUCCAUUUGGUCUUGAACAUAUGUUUUGGUUUUAAAUUUAAUUCUAAUCUUUUAACACUUGCCUUUGUACAUAUACAUGUCCUAGGCUGCAUUAUAGAUGGGACUGCUCAUCUCAAAGAUGCCUGCUUCUGUGUGCUGGCCUUGGGAUAAAGGUACACAGAGCAAAAGAUUUAGGUGGUACACAGUAAUACGGCCAAUUAUAACAAUGCUAUAUCUAACAUCUCCAUCCAUGAUCAGAUUAACGGAUGAGAGGUAGACUCUGCUGAGUUUUGAGAUGCACUGAACAUUAAGGCAUUAGCUAGAUGUUACAGGUUCUGACCAAAGUUAAAUUAUCAAAGGAAUAAAUAAUUAAGUUCAUUAUGGAAAGUACAGAGUUAUGUCCAUAAAGCAAAAGAAACAAAAAAGGAAUGUGGAGUAUAAAUAUUAAAAUACAGAAAGCUUGACCUAAAAUACGUUUGCCUCUGAAAAUAAUCAGUUGCUCUCAGUUUCCAUUAUGGAUCGGAGGUAAUGGGUUCAGAAGGCAGUCUGAAGGGCUUAGGAUAACUAAUUAAGAAACCGCUCAACUGCUAAACAAAAAACCAGUGCCAUCAAAUGCAGCUGUAAAAGCUCCCCAUCAAGUUAAUUUUCUAAAUCGGAGGUUUUCAACGGGGGUUGGAAUCCCUCUAGGAGGCAUUCUAGAAAUUGGUGGGAGCACUUUUGUCUUCCAGUCUAAUCUUUUCCUUUCAUUUCUUCUUUAUGCCACAGCUAGAGCAUAAUAUUGAUUUAUUCAAACCUCCUUUUCAUUAUGAUAUAACCAACAUACAGAAAAAUGGAUAAAGUAUAAAGGUACAACUCAGCAAACAGUUGUAAAAUAACUCCUACCCAGCACCCAGAAACUCCUCAGGUGCCUCUCCCUGGCAGUCCUGACAGCUAGUAAAAGCAAGUGUUUUCACUUUGUUCUUCUUCAUAGGUGACCUGGUUAAUUUUGACCCUUUAUACUUCUUUAUAAACUUUAGAAUCAGCCUAUUAAAUUCCACUGGGGGGAGAAAAACAGUGAUAUCCUUUAGAGGGUUAUAUUAUAUUGAUUUUUUUUUAAUUUAUUUUUGUGGGUAGGUUAUAUUUUCCACGAAUUUUAUUUCAGGAUGGUAAGGGCCAUUACAUAAUGUUUCUUAUAAAAAGGGAAUGUUGUUGCUCUUAAGGAUAAGAACCAAUGUCCUCAACGAAAUAAAAAUGUGGUCCUCUCCCUUAGUGAAUGGGGAUUUAAUAUCCAAGACGAAGUCUUCUACAAAACCCAAAACUCACUCAAGGUGAUCCCUGAGACCAUCCCCAUUUGAAAACCUUUCUGAGAUGUCAUGACUUGUCCAUCUAAUUAUGAUACACAGGGUUUUCUAGGUAUAGGUGUACCCUGAUAUCCUUUAGAGGUUUAUGCGAUUUUAUCGAAAUCCAUUAACUCCUUCACAAAUUAUCUAAAGAUGAUCAAAGGACACACUAAUGCCAAAUAGGUCAAUAUCAAUAAAUUCCUGUUUAUUUUGGCACUUAAAGCCAACACAGUUAACAAAACUUGAAAUCUGUGAGGUCAAUGGAUAAAGUUAGCAUUGGGAUUCUGUAGUGAAGUUAUAUAAUAAAAAAUUAAUAAAUCAGAUAAUAAAGUGAGUUAAAAGAAUGUUUUUGGAAUCCUAAAAAUUUAAUCCAGGUAGUUCCUGUCGUGUGGCUCAGUGGUUAAUGAACCCGACUAGCAUCCAUCAGGACACAGGUUUGAUCCCUGGCCUCGCUCC